CCAACUGGAUAAUUAUAGAAAUAAUGAAGACUGUGGUCAUUUCUGGUCAGCCCAUCAGUAUUAAUGGAAUGAUGCACCAUGCCACCUAGACAGAAUGGGAUACAUCUGUGAGUGUUCACAUGGAUCGAACUGUCGUCCGUUCAAUGGAUGAGAGAAACAAGUAACCAUUGGAAGAUAUAUUAUAUUGUUUGUGUUAUUAAAACAAUCCAAACUAAA
Mytilus californianus (California mussel) is the source of this 216-nucleotide long non-coding RNA. RefSeq lists it as uncharacterized. The record is from RefSeq and is a predicted model, not a curated record. Lineage: Eukaryota; Metazoa; Mollusca; Bivalvia; Mytilida; Mytilidae. The transcript has 2 exons.